GUGAUAGGCUCCUUUGUUUUUCUGGAACCGCUCCAUACAUCUGGCUGUUCCCAAGGUGUGCAGCUGUAGUUCAUCAUGGAGGCAGCGGAACCACUGCUGCAGCACUUCAUGCUGGUGUUCCCCAGGUUGUCUUCUACUAACUACAAAGUACCCUUUCAUUUUUACUUUUGUAAUAGAAUUUUCCAAAACAUGGAUGGCAUGAAAAUAAAAUAUAAUUUUGCAUUUUAACUGCUGAUCUUCCAACCAUGCAUGGGACAGCCAAGCAGGGAAUGAUGAUAAGUCUUCUUGCUUUAAUUUUGAAUUCUUCCUUUACGACUCUAUUGAAAAUGCCUCCAAUCUUUCAUGGGGCCGGCCAUCAAAGUCUUUAAAAUGCAUUCAUCAUUAGUUUUGACCUAUAAUUUUUACCUUUGGAAUCAGUUUUGAAUGCAUUAAAUGAACUUGACCACAAAUUUUGAUUCAUCAAGAAAAAAAUUUAGAUGAGAAAAUCAAUCCAAACAGGCUAUAGUUUGGGUCUAUCAAAGAUCAACCCAAUUAAAGUAUGACAAACUUAUCAUUUGCAUCUUUGACCUUCAUCUAAGUGAUAGUUAUUAUUCUUAAAAUUAUAAUCAAUUCAUAAAUAUUGCGAACCUUAGUACUUUCAUUUUUAUUUAAUUCUAUUUUCUUGAAAUAUGAAAGUUCGUUUCAUGUUUCAUGUCUUAAAUUUAGGCUUGGGGAUUGCAUUUAGGGAUAAAAAUCAUUUUUAUGCAUUCUUAUCUAUUCUAAUUAUUUAUUUAAAUUUUGUUAUCCCUUUUGUACGUCAAUAAAUAGGAAAUUAAGAUGGGUUUUAUCAUCAGUUAGUUUUGGGCUGAAUCAAAAUUUCAAUUUCAAUACUCCUUCAAUUUCUCUAGCAAUGGAUCUUUCCUAUCCCCAUACUAUCACACCGGGGUCCGGUUGCCGGGGACACGAUUAAGGGAUAAAAAGACAUGUUUUGAGCAUGCAUAUACAAGAGAUAUAACAUUAUAUAUAUAUAUAUAUAU
This is a long non-coding RNA of Dendrobium catenatum, 1016 nucleotides long. RefSeq lists it as uncharacterized. The record is from RefSeq and is a predicted model, not a curated record. The transcript has 3 exons. Lineage: Eukaryota; Viridiplantae; Streptophyta; Magnoliopsida; Asparagales; Orchidaceae.